UACAUAUCUCCCUCCGUCCGGAAAUACUUGUCAUCAAAAUGAAUAAAAGAUGAUGUAUCUAGAUGUAUUUUUAUUCUAGAUACACCUCUUUUUAUUCAUUUUGAUGACAAGUAUUUCCGGACGGAGAGAGUAUGUA
Molecule: non-coding RNA, 136 nt
Organism: Triticum aestivum (bread wheat)
Lineage: Eukaryota; Viridiplantae; Streptophyta; Magnoliopsida; Poales; Poaceae
Source: Rfam